CAAGAGCGUAUAUUAAAGUUGUUGCAGUUAAAAAGCUCGUAGUUGGAUUUCUGGUACAACGCGCCUGGCCCGCUUUAUGUGAGUGCCGGUGCGCGUUUGCCAUCCUUCUAGAAAACGUUUCUACCUGGGCAACCGGGCCGGACUCGCGAUCUAGAUCUUUUACUUUGAAAAAUUAGAGUGUUUAAAGCAGGCUUUUGCUGUGAAUACAUUAGCAUGGAAUAAUAAGAUAGGACCUCGGUGCUAUUUUGUUGGUUUCUGGAACUGAAGUAAUGAUUGAUAGGGAUAGUUGGGGGUGCUAGUAUUGAGCGGCCAGAGGUGAAAUUCUUGGAUUCGCUGAAGACUAACUUAUGCGAAAGCAUUCACCAAGGAUGUCUUCUUUAAUCAAGAACGAAAGUUGGGGGAUCGAAGACGAUUAGAUACCAU
This 423-nucleotide ribosomal RNA is filed under the name uncultured eukaryote. Its description in RNAcentral is "SSU rRNA". It matches the Rfam family "Eukaryotic small subunit ribosomal RNA", at positions 592 to 1018 of the family's 1831-position model. The record is from RNAcentral.